GGUAAGCUAAUUGAAUUUCCUACACAAUGGCAGGCUCUAAACUGAAAAAUAAUGAGUGUUUUUGAAAAUUAUACAUAUGAAUACUCACAUAUUGGGACUUGAGUUAUGCUAGGAAAAUAUGGAGCGUUACAUUUCUCUCCAUAGUUGGGAUACUUUCAGGCAUAUUACUCUUCCCCAAAUCUUACUUUAUGAAAAGCAUGUGUUAUAAAUGCUCAAAUUUUUUGGAUUUGAAUGUGGG
RNAcentral lists this long non-coding RNA (238 nucleotides) under Capsicum annuum. Its description in RNAcentral is "long non-coding RNA (CANN_LNC001068)". The record is from RNAcentral. Lineage: Eukaryota; Viridiplantae; Streptophyta; Magnoliopsida; Solanales; Solanaceae.